GUAACGCGNGGGUAACCUGCCUCAUACAGGGGGAUAACAGUUAGAAAUGACUGCUAAUACCGCAUAAGCGCACAGUGCUGCAUGGCACAGUGUGAAAAACUCCGGUGGUAUGAGAUGGACCCGCGUCUGAUUAGCUAGUUGGUGGGGUAACGGCCUACCAAGGCGACGAUCAGUAGCCGGCCUGAGAGGGUGAACGGCCACAUUGGGACUGAGACACGGCCCAAACUCCUACGGGAGGCAGCAUG
Molecule: ribosomal RNA, 245 nt
Filed under: uncultured bacterium
Lineage: Bacteria
Description: partial 16S ribosomal RNA
Rfam family: Bacterial small subunit ribosomal RNA
Source: RNAcentral